UACAGAGGUCUCAAGCGUUGUUCGGAUUCAUUGGGCGUAAAGGGUGCGUAGGUGGCGAGGUAAGUCUGGUGUGAAAUCCCGGGGCUCAACCCCGGAACUGCACUGGAUACUGCCCUGCUGGAGUACUGGAGAGGAGAUUGGAAUUUACGGUGUAGCAGUGAAAUGCGUAGAUAUCGUAAGGAAGACCAGUGGUGAAGGCGAAUCUCUGGACAGUUACUGACACUGAGGCACGAAGGCCAGGGGAGCAAACGGG
RNAcentral lists this ribosomal RNA (253 nucleotides) under uncultured bacterium. Its description in RNAcentral is "partial 16S ribosomal RNA". It matches the Rfam family "Bacterial small subunit ribosomal RNA", at positions 524 to 776 of the family's 1533-position model. The record is from RNAcentral.